UAGACCUCAUCUCGGGUGAGUCCACCCUGAGAACUUACCUAUAUCAAAGGGGAAAAAAAAA
Molecule: ribosomal RNA, 61 nt
Filed under: Pleurotus eryngii
Lineage: Eukaryota; Fungi; Basidiomycota; Agaricomycetes; Agaricales; Pleurotaceae
Description: partial 28S ribosomal RNA
Source: RNAcentral